This 250-nucleotide long non-coding RNA is filed under the name Homo sapiens (human). RNAcentral's name for it is "HSALNT0082959". Lineage: Eukaryota; Metazoa; Chordata; Mammalia; Primates; Hominidae. The record is from RNAcentral.
CUUUGCUCUGGUCGUGAGUGCAGAAGGGACGAUAUUUUAUGCAUCAGCAACGAUCGUGGACUAUCUGGGCUUCCAUCAGCCUGGAGACCCUUUGGAAACACGAGGUGACGCCACGGUAGUUAUUCAGCUAAGCUUCCCUCUGACGGGCCCUGAGGCUGCCGCCAUAGAGCGGCAGAACCGUGCAGUUCCUGGAGGAGAAGGGGGUUUUGAUUGCGAAAUGUUCCAGUAUCCAGAGUGAACACUGAAGGAG